GCGAGUGAAGCGGCAACAGCUCAAAUUUGAAAGCUGGCUCCGGCCCGCAUUGUAAUUUGCAGAGGAUGCUUUUGGCGAGGUGCCUUCCGAGUUCCCUGGAACGGGACGCCAUAGAGGGUGAGAGCCCCGUAUGGAUGGACACCAAACCUGUGUAAAGCUCCUUCAACGAGUCGAGUAGUUUGGGAAUGCUGCUCUAAAUGGGAGGUAAAUCUCUUCUAAAGCUAAAUACCGGCCAGAGACCGAUAGCGCACAAGUAGAGUGAUCGAAAGAUGAAAAGCACCUUGAAAAGGGGGUUAAACAGUACGUGAAAUUGUUGAAAGGGAAGCGCUUGUGACCAGACUUGCGCCGGGCAGCUCAUCAGGGGUUCUCCCCUGUGCACUCUGCCCGGCUCAGGCCAGCAUCGGUUCUCGUGGGAGGAUAAGAACAGUGGGAACGUGGCCCCCCUCCGGGGGGGUGUUAUAGCCCAUUGUACGAUACUCUCGUGGGGACCGAGGUUCGCGCUCCGCAAGGAUGCUGGC
The sequence is a ribosomal RNA, 518 nucleotides long. It matches the Rfam family "Eukaryotic large subunit ribosomal RNA", at positions 89 to 630 of the family's 3401-position model.